UACAGAGGGGGCAAGCGUUAUUCGGAAUUAUUGGGCGUAAAGGGCGCGUAGGCGGCUUUGCAAGUGACGGGUGAAAUCCCUCGGCUUAACCGGGGAACUGCCUGUCAAACUGCAUGGCUUGAGACCGGGAGAGGUGAGUGGAAUUCCCAGUGUAGUGGUGAAAUACGUAGAGAUUGGGAAGAACACCAGUGGCGAAGGCGGCUAUCUGGACGGUUUCUGACGCUAAGACGCGAAAGCGUGGGGAGCAAACAGG
RNAcentral lists this ribosomal RNA (253 nucleotides) under uncultured bacterium. RNAcentral's name for it is "partial 16S ribosomal RNA". It matches the Rfam family "Bacterial small subunit ribosomal RNA", at positions 524 to 776 of the family's 1533-position model. The record is from RNAcentral.